UUUCCGUAGGUGAACCAGCGGAGGGAUCAUUAUUGAGUAACAUAACUCAGAAACCUUUCUCUACCCUGACAGGUCUUGCACCCCCGAGUGCCCUCACACCGCGCCAUCGCACCCCUAGGUGCACCACCGCGUCGGACCCCACUUGGCUUUUUCGGGGGGGGACUUACGUUUUCACACAUACUUCAUAUGAAGUUUUGAAUGUAUUUUUUGUUUAUGCGAUCACGCAUUCAAAACGACUUAGAACAACGGAUCACUAGUCUCUCGCAUCGUUGAAGAACG
RNAcentral lists this unclassified non-coding RNA (279 nucleotides) under plant metagenome. RNAcentral describes it as "partial contains small subunit ribosomal RNA, internal transcribed spacer 1, and 5.8S ribosomal RNA". The record is from RNAcentral.